AGUGGCGAAAUUCUGCCGCGGAGAAAAUUACGUUGUCGGUGCGGCGAGCAGACGACAACUGGGGCGAGUGGAACGGCACCCCUUCCGUUUCGGAUUCGGCAGACGACAAAGGGGUGUGCGCAAGAUGCACCUCGCCCGAAUCGUUCUGAACAUGAAGCAGUAUUACAGUAUUUCUCCUUGGCUCCAGUGUGAUUUUGCUUAUAAAGGAGCAUGAACAUGUCAAGUAUGGCUUCGACGCUAUAGCCCAAUCUUAAAUUACAUUGUAUAAAGUUUUUUUCUUUUUUUUUUCUCCAUUAUUACUCAUUUUUCAAGUAGUGUCAAAUAGAUUUUUUAUGGUUGUUUACCGAUAUUCUUAGAAGUUCGUAGUGCCUUCAUUUCAAGAUACCAUCAGCGUUGCCUUCAAAGCAAAUCUUCUCAAAUAAUAAUAGCUCUUAGAACAAGUAAAUCUUUUAGCAUAUCAGCUAAUUUACAUUUUCUGACAAUCAGGUAAAAGUCUCUUUAUACUUAAAGUUCUAUUCGCACUUAGCUAGUACUUUCAAGAUUUAGAACUUUUAUCUUUGCCUUCUUGCUCUCAUUAACUUAUCCGGGCACAAUUUUUCGGAUCGUCUGCUAGCAAUAAUAUUUAUUCGACAUUCUUUUCAAGAAGCAAAGUAAAUGGCUCACCGCAGUUUUGUUUCAAUUUCUUCGUGAACAUUAUUGUUUUUCGUGAACUGUCAUUACACGGAUUUUUCGAGUAACGGAAGUAUAUCAAAGCUGUUCUGCUCAAGGAGUUAUUGCCAACAAUGGAUAUAAGUGCUGCCACUUUUUUAUUGGAUUACAUCGACUGUUGAAGACAGCGGGUGGAAAUUUGGAAUUUUUUUCCCGCGAUCCGGACGACGACGAUUUUUGGGAAUCAUGGCAAUGUUCCGGGGGAUCGGAGGACCUGCAGGGGCCUCUGGAAUGGGAGGUCCUUGGGACAAGUUGAUGUCCAAAGUAAAACGCCAACACUCAGGUCAACACCAAGGAGCGGACUCAAGGUAAGUGCUUGAAUCCGUCUGUUUCUACACAAUAAUGGUGUGUGUUCGAAGAAAUUAUGGCUUUGACUACAGCUACAAGUUGAAAUGGAAAAAUCACGACAUAAAUGGGAUGAAACAAAUAUGAAAGAAGCCAUUGAAAAAGUUGGACUUAAUAACAUGACAAUUAGCCAACCAUAGGCUAUAUUUUUCAACUUUUAUAAAAAAAUAUUACUUAUUUUCAUUUUUAGACAUGUAUACUAUUCUAAGUAACCAACUACUUUGUUCGUUUCGUUUUUUUGCACAUUAAAAUGUUAUUUCUGAACUAUUUGUUUUAAUUUCAACAUUUUAAUGUUUUGUCCGAUACAACCCUCCAAAAUUUAAAAUUGGCCAAAAAUAGAGUUUGACAAAAAU
Molecule: long non-coding RNA, 1406 nt
Organism: Uloborus diversus
Lineage: Eukaryota; Metazoa; Arthropoda; Arachnida; Araneae; Uloboridae
Exons: 3
Source: RefSeq, a predicted model, not a curated record